GGCUUAGUUACGAUUAAUAGGAGUAGCUUGGGGGCAUUUGKAUUCAGAUGUCAGAGGUGAAAUUCUUAGAUUUUCUGGAGACGAACACUGGAAAGCCUUUGCCUAAAAWACUUCCMUUAAUCAAGAACGAAAGUUAAGGGARUGAAGACGAUCAGAAACCGUUGKAAUCUUAACCAUUAACUAAGCCGACUAGGCUUUGGAUKAAAGAUUUUAAAAUWAGGAUUUUCUCUUAGGAGKUUAUUCUUAGAUUGCUUCCUUCAGUGCCUUAUGAGAAAUCAAAGUCUUUGGGUUCUGGGGCGAGUAUUCGCGCAAGCGAGAAAGUUAAAAGAAUUGACGGAAGGGCACCACCAGGCGUGGAGCUUGCGGCUUAAUUUGACUCAACACGGGAAAACUCACUAGUUUAAGACAAGAGUAGGAUUGACAGAUUAAUAGCUCUUUCUUGAUUUCUUGGAUGGUGAUGCAUGGCCGUUUUUAGUUCGUGAAUAUGAUUUGUCUGGUUAAUUCCGAUAACGAACGAGAUCUUAACCUGCUAAUUAGCGGCAAAUACGAUAUAUUCUUACGUGGGACUGAAUUCGGUUGAUUUGCUUACUUYGAAGAAAAUAUUGGGAAACGUAACAGUUUCCCUUUCCCUUUUCUACUUAGUUCGCUUUUCAUACUGUUUCUUUUUCGCGUAAGAAUGUAUUUGCUUGAUUGUAAAGCUUCUUA
This 705-nucleotide ribosomal RNA is filed under the name Plasmodium simium. RNAcentral's name for it is "SSU rRNA". It matches the Rfam family "Eukaryotic small subunit ribosomal RNA", at positions 867 to 1432 of the family's 1831-position model. The record is from RNAcentral. Lineage: Eukaryota; Apicomplexa; Aconoidasida; Haemosporida; Plasmodiidae.